GACGAACCGUGCGAACGUUGUUCGGAUUCACUGGGCUUAAAGGGCGCGUAGGGGGCUACGCGAGUCGGGGGUGAAAUCGUCCCGCCCAACGGCACAAGGGCCUCCGAGGCCGCGUGACUCGAUGGGGAUAGGGGAGCGCGGAACUUCCGGUGGAGCGGUGAAAUGCGUAGAUAUCGGAAGGAACGCCGGCGGCGAAAGCGGCGCACUGGAUACUUACUAACGCUGAGGCGUGAAAGCCAGGGGAGCAACCGCG
Molecule: ribosomal RNA, 253 nt
Filed under: uncultured bacterium
Lineage: Bacteria
Description: partial 16S ribosomal RNA
Rfam family: Bacterial small subunit ribosomal RNA
Source: RNAcentral